This 510-nucleotide ribosomal RNA is filed under the name uncultured bacterium. Its description in RNAcentral is "bacterial SSU rRNA". It matches the Rfam family "Bacterial small subunit ribosomal RNA", at positions 8 to 507 of the family's 1533-position model. The record is from RNAcentral.
AGAGUUUGAUCAUGGCUCAGAGUGAACGCUGGCGGCAGGCCUAAUACAUGCAAGUCGAACGGCAGCACAGCAGAGCUUGCUCUGUGGGUGGCGAGUGGCGGACGGGUGAGGAAUACGUGGGAAUCUGCCCAGUCGUGGGGGAUAACGUAGGGAAACUUACGCUAAUACCGCAUGCGCCCUUCGGGGGAAAGCCGGGGACCUUCGGGCCUGGCGCGAUUGGAUGAGCCCACGUCGGAUUAGCUAGUUGGCGGGGUAAAGGCCCACCAAGGCGACGAUCCGUAGCUGGUCUGAGAGGAUGAUCAGCCACACUGGAACUGAGACACGGUCCAGACUCCUACGGGAGGCAGCAGUAGGGAAUAUUGGGCAAUGGGCGCAAGCCUGAUCCAGCCAUGCCGCGUGAGUGAAGAAGGCCCUCGGGUUGUAAAGCUCUUUUGUCCGGAAAGAAAAGCGCCGGGUUAAUACCCUGGUGUCCUGACGGUACCGGAAGAAUAAGCACCGGCUAACUUCGUG